CUGGGCACAAAGAGGGCAGUGGGAGCAGGGAGAGCCUCAUGCCCUCUCUGUGCCAGG
Molecule: microRNA precursor, 57 nt
Organism: Gallus gallus (chicken)
Lineage: Eukaryota; Metazoa; Chordata; Aves; Galliformes; Phasianidae
Source: Ensembl